This 420-nucleotide unclassified non-coding RNA is filed under the name Hevea brasiliensis (rubber tree). Lineage: Eukaryota; Viridiplantae; Streptophyta; Magnoliopsida; Malpighiales; Euphorbiaceae. The record is from RNAcentral.
GACAACAUCGACAAUAUACAGAUUGUCUUUAGGGAGGACUUUGGAACUGAAGGCCGUGGAGGAUAUUUUGAUGAAUAUGGAAUCAUUCGUGAUAUUAUCCAAAAUCAUCUGUUGCAGGUUCUUUGUUUAGUCGCUAUGGAGAAGCCUGUUUCUCUUAAACCUGAGCACAUUCGGGAUGAGAAAGUGAAGGUCCUUGAAUCAGUCCUACCCAUAGAAUCUGAAGAGGUUGUCCUAGGACAGUACGAGGGAUACAAAGAUGACCCAACAGUUUCAGAUGACUCCAACACUCCAACUUUUGCUACUGUUGUUCUCCGGAUACACAACGAGAGAUGGGAAGGUGUUCCUUUCAUACUAAAGGCAGGAAAAGCACUGAAUUCUAGGAAGGCAGAAAUUCGUGUUCAGUUCAAGGAUGUUCCUGGU